UACAGGUAUGAGCCACCACACUUGACCUGUAGAGAAGAAAUUCUUGUCUCAGUUAAAAGUUAUCUCUGUAUUCCUAUUAGGAUAGGAUGCUAGUCAGAAUUCCUGGGAUAUGUACAUAAAAUCAAAAAUAAUUUGAGAUAAAAAAUCUGUCAGCAAAGAAGAACUUAGGUAACAUAUUAGAGUGGAGAAUGUGGUACUUCCAUUUUGCUUCUGUGGUAGUAAGGAUUGGGAAGAGGGCAGAGAUGGGAAGAGAAAAGUGUUUCUAGGACAGACAUACAUCUAUUAUUUUUCUGGAGUUUGAGUAUCUACUAGAACAACCUUUAAUUUUCCCUUAUUGCCUAUUCUUAUCAUUGCCCAGCCACCAUCACAAAUGAAAAAAGGAUGGAGAAGAACAAGUCUGGAUGUUGGGUUGGGGACAAUCCAGUAAGACUCUGGAGUGGGUAAAUGUCUGGUGUGGAUGAAAAGAGGCCUACAGAAGAAGGGGGAGUAGAAGUAGGUUUGAGUGAGAACAGUGCGCCCACCUCCACCAAACCGGGAGCAAGUGUGACAAUACAGACUCAGAAAAGUAAAUUGGCAUGGACUGCACUUCCGGGUUGGAGCAAGUUGAAAGGCAUCAAUGUUCUGGGCUGUGAUGUCACCUUCAAUGUGACCUUGGGUCAUUCUCAAGAUCCACCCCACAUCCCCAUAACCUGGGGGUUUUUACAUUCCCAGGAUCUUUGCCCACCAAGGCCACUGCCCUUUCCCAAAGCAUCUUGUUUCCACAGAGUCUGAAGUUCACAUACUAAUGUUCUGGAGUGAUGGACUCUCUCUUAAGUAUCUUGUUUACAGUCUCAUGCUGUGCAUUUUUUUUUUUUUUACCAUGUCUGCAUGGGAUAUGGCAAAGGGUUUGGUUUAGUGUAGAUAAAAAGAAUGCUGCAGAAUCAUUCGCUAGAACCUUUAGCAUAUGAUUGCAAAGUUGGUGGGUCUUUCUCUUUUUCUCUCUAUCUCAAAGUUCAGGGCAAGUAUAAUAAUAAGUUAUUGUGUUUGGAAACAAAUUCAUGCUUAAGCAUUCUUAUGUUAUAUCCCCUCUCUGUUCCCCAGACGUGGUAUGACAUCUACUUGUGGACACACUCUGCUUUCUGGUUUUUCUGUUUCUGAUUAGAAACUCAAAAACAAUAUGAGAAACAUACCUGAAAACAGCAGAAGAUCUGGAUCAUUCCGGCCAGCAAUUCAAAGUCUGCCAAAGGGAAAUCAAGUAUUGUAGAAACCUACGGGGCCUCUCAGAGCAUUUUACCAGAACUGUGGCAGGGUGACUGAUUGUGUCCUCACAGGGGAAGAAAGUCUUGUCCAAAGAUGGCGUCUACCCUGUGCUCCACUGUGUAUCCCAGAGGAGAGCAUCUUUACUGUGGAAUGGACUUCCAGCUGACUCAUGUUGGGGAAAGGAAGCAACACAGGAGCUUAAGAGGAAAAUUGAAAGAAACCACAGACCCUUUGAAAGAAGUGGCAAACUGCAGCUUACACCAUGAGCCAGGCAGAAAACUCUGAGUCCUCAGAGUGUGAAAGGAAGAGAAACUGCCUCUGGGAUAUGCACUCCCACUGGGGAACCUGGCAAUCCAGGCCACGGGGAAGACCUUAACCCUACCCAGUGCUGGAGCUGAUUUAAUGAGCUGAGGGGAGUAUAUGAGAAGGAGCAGCUUCAGGAUGUGCUUUGCUUGCACUCCUAGACUCUACUGGGGACAGAGGGAAGCCAUUCCUGAUCCUACCUCACAGAGGACCAUGCAGAAGUCAGCCAACUAGCUCAGGCGGUGGCCAUGGGCUGAGAGGAGUGAGAAGCUCCCAACUGAGAUUCACAAUAUAAUCUCUAGCAGGGAUGGACCUCCUUGACCAGAACUGAGGGGCAAGUGGGAAGUGCGCUGUGCCCACAGGUGUAGGAGCUGGGUGCCCCUGCUUCGCUAGCAGAUCAGGAGGGGCAUGGCCUGAGCAGUUUUUGUCUUGGCAGCCAGAGAAGGCUUAUGGUCUGGGACAGUUUUGAGUGCUGAAUGCAGCCUGCUUGCAACCUAGAUGGCCGCUGCCAGUAGAACACUGUGGGUCUGAGACCUGUCUUGCCAAGUGCAUAGGGGCUGAGUGGGGCUUACUGCCACCUGUACUCCCCACUUCCUGUGUGGACUCUUCUGUGCGGCAGGGGCAACUGCACUCCUCCCUGGAACAUUAUCCCAGCAUCCAGAGAACUGCCCUCUGAUCCCCACUGGGCCACUGAUUGCACCUGCACGUGGAUAGCCAGAGCGCGAACUUGCCUGACUCAGCCCCGACCUGGUUUGCCUUUUUACCCACCCUGGUAGCUUAACACAAAGGACAGAAACUUUCGGGAGUGUUAUGGACCUGCCCAUUGCUUGAGACACCAGAGUACCUCCCCUGGUCACAUAAGCCAAGCAUGAAUUCCACCACUACUACUGCAGUCAGUGCUCUUUCGCACCAACUGCACCUCCUGGCUAUAGGCCAAUCAACAUAGUCCAUUACAACAUCUGUAGGCAGAAUAACACAGCACUGGGAAGGAGAAAACUUUUGCAUGACUACAGCUACCACCAUUGCCUGCAUCACCCUGGCUAACCAGGAGGUCUUGAGUCUGUUCACAUGACCAGAUCAUUACUACUACAACUGAAAUUAGAGAAAGCCAGCACACUAAGGCUAUUUGUAACCAAAGAAUCUCACAGAGUUUACUUUACUCCUCUGCCAGCCCCAUCAGAGCUGGUGCUGGUACCCACUGCUGGGAGACUUGAGGAUAAGUCACAUCGCUGGACCCUUUGCAGACAUUCCCUAGCACAGGCCUGGAAUGUAGCAGCCCCAUUGGGUGGCCAGAUCCAGAGCCGCAGCAGCAAUCAUAGUAGUCUGGCACUCAGGGACUCCUACUCCUAGGGUAAGCAGGAGUGCACCACAUGAAGGGAGCACCCUGUGGGACAAAGGAAUCCAGAUGGCAGGCUUUGAGUCUCAGAACUUUACAAUUGUGGGAAAUUUCUUUCAGCAGAGAGACAGGUGCAGUGCUGGGCUCAGUGGGGAAGUCUGUGGCUCUACCUCACCAGUCAGGCAGCCCUGGUGCUUGUGAAGGGUCUUGGAGAAUAGGACUUCUCCCCCUCAUGCACCACUGCUGACACAGCUGGGGUUUCUCACAAAGGAACUCGGCAUGAGUGCACCUGUAGACAGCCUUUCUGGGACCCUUCAGGUGACUGCAUUCCCACAGGACAAGUGCCCUCCAGGCUCAGGCUUGUAUGAGAGGUAGAGUCACAAUUCAUCUCUACAUUCUUGCAGCUGAAAAGACGUGUCUGUCUGAAGGUCUAACAUCCAGUAUCUGUAAGGAACUUAAACAAAUUUACAAAAAACCCCUAACCCACCCCAUUAAAAAGUAGGCAAAGGAUAU
RNAcentral lists this long non-coding RNA (3391 nucleotides) under Homo sapiens (human). RNAcentral describes it as "HSALNT0375821". The record is from RNAcentral. Lineage: Eukaryota; Metazoa; Chordata; Mammalia; Primates; Hominidae.